Molecule: ribosomal RNA, 468 nt
Filed under: uncultured bacterium
Lineage: Bacteria
Description: partial 16S ribosomal RNA
Rfam family: Bacterial small subunit ribosomal RNA
Source: RNAcentral
GACGAACGCUGGCGGCGUGCUUAACACAUGCAAGUCGAACGGAAAGGCCCUGCUUUUGUGGGGUGCUCGAGUGGCGAACGGGUGAGUAACACGUGAGUAACCUGCCCUUGUCUUUGGGAUAAAUUCAGGAAACUGGGGCUAAUAUCGGAUAGGAGCUCCUGCUGCAUGGUGGGGGUUGGAAAGUUUCGGCGGUUGGGGAUGGACUGGCGGGUUAUGAGCUUGAUGGUCGGGUAGGGGCUUACCAAGGCUUCGACGGGUAGGCGGCCUGGGCGGGUUACCGGCGACAUUGGGACUAAGAUAGGGACCAGACUCGUACGGGAGGCAAAAGUGGGAAAUAUUGCAGAAUAGGCGGAAGCCAGAUGCGACAGCGCCGGGUUCGGGAUGACGGCCUUCUGGUUAUAAACCGCUUUCGCCGGUGACGAAGCGUUAUUGACGGUAAUGAGUAAAGAAGCACCGGCUAACUACGUG